GACGAACGCUGGCGGCGUGCCUAAUACAUGCAAGUUGAGCGAUGAAGCUUGGUGCUUGCCCCAAUUUGAAGAGCAGCGAACGGGUGAGUAACGCGUGGGGAAUCUGCCUUUGAGCGGGGGACAACAUUUGGAAACGAAUGCUAAUACCGCAUAACAACUUUAAACAUAAGUUUUAAGUUUGAAAGAUGCAAUUGCAUCACUCAAAGAUGAUCCCGCGUUGUAUUAGCUAGUUGGUGAGGUAAAGGCUCACCAAGGCGAUGAUACAUAGCCGACCUGAGAGGGUGAUCGGCCACAUUGAGACUGAGACACGGCCCAAACUCCUACGGGAGGCAGCAGUAGGGAAUCUUCGGCAAUGGACGAAAGUCUGACCGAGCAACGCCGCGUGAGUGAAGAAGGUUUUCGGAUCGUAAAACUCUGUUGGUAGAGAAGAACGUUGGUGAGAGUGGAAAGCUCAUCAAGUGACGGUAACUACCCAGAAAGGGACGGCUAACUACGUG
This 497-nucleotide ribosomal RNA is filed under the name uncultured bacterium. Its description in RNAcentral is "partial 16S ribosomal RNA". It matches the Rfam family "Bacterial small subunit ribosomal RNA", at positions 28 to 507 of the family's 1533-position model. The record is from RNAcentral.